GGAGGGGUGCCGGAGAGGCCGAACGGGGCUCCCUGCUAAGGAGUUGAGCCGGGCAACCCCUGGCUCCGAGGGUUCGAAUCCCUCCCCCUCCG
This 92-nucleotide transfer RNA is filed under the name Chlorobiota bacterium. Its description in RNAcentral is "tRNA-Ser". It matches the Rfam family "tRNA". From Rfam's summary of the family: Transfer RNA (tRNA) molecules are approximately 80 nucleotides in length. Their secondary structure includes four short double-helical elements and three loops (D, anti-codon, and T loops). Lineage: Bacteria; Pseudomonadati; Chlorobiota. The record is from RNAcentral.